Molecule: ribosomal RNA, 253 nt
Filed under: uncultured bacterium
Lineage: Bacteria
Description: partial 16S ribosomal RNA
Rfam family: Bacterial small subunit ribosomal RNA
Source: RNAcentral
UACGGGGGGGGCAAGCGUUGUUCGGAAUUACUGGGCGUAAAGGGCUCGUAGGUGGCCAACUAAGUCAGACGUGAAAUCCCCAGGCUCAACUUGGGAACUGCGUCUGAUACUGGAUGGCUUGAAUUCGGGAGAGGGAUGCAGAAUUCCAGGUGUAGCGGUGAAAUGCGUAGAUAUCUGGAGGAACACCGGUGGCGAAGGCGGCCAUCUGGACGAGUACUGACGCUGAGACGCGAAAGCGUGGGGAGCAAGCAGG